GGGUCAUUGGUCUAUGGGCAUGAUUCUCUCUUUGGGUGAGAGAGGUCCCGGGUUCAAAUCCCGGAUGAGCCC
Molecule: transfer RNA, 72 nt
Filed under: Mus musculus (house mouse)
Lineage: Eukaryota; Metazoa; Chordata; Mammalia; Rodentia; Muridae
Description: tRNA-Pro-TGG-5-1
Rfam family: tRNA
About the family: Transfer RNA (tRNA) molecules are approximately 80 nucleotides in length. Their secondary structure includes four short double-helical elements and three loops (D, anti-codon, and T loops).
Source: RNAcentral